CAAGGAAUUUUCGUCAAUGGGGGGAACCCUGAACGAGCAACGCCGCGUGGGCGAAGAAGUCCCUCGGGAUGUAAAGCCCUUUUCCCUGUGAAGAAAGAAAGACGGUAGCAGGGGAAUAAGCAUCGGCUAACUACGUGCCAGCAGCCGCGGUAAUACGUAGGAUGCAAGCGUUGUCCGGAAUUAUUGGGCGUAAAGAGCGCGCAGGCGGUUUUACAAGUCAGAUGUGAAAGAGGCCGGCUUAACCGGCAAGGGUCAUUUGAAACUGUGAGACUAGAGUGCAGCAGAGGAUAGCGGAAUUCCCGGUGUAGUGGUGAAAUGCGUAGAUAUCGGGAGGAACACCAGUGGCGAAGGCGGCUAUCUGGGCUGCAACUGACGCUGAGGCGCGAAGGCUAGGGUAGCAAACA
Molecule: ribosomal RNA, 404 nt
Filed under: uncultured bacterium
Lineage: Bacteria
Description: bacterial SSU rRNA
Rfam family: Bacterial small subunit ribosomal RNA
Source: RNAcentral